UGGGGAUUGUAAGCAGACUCCCCGGAUUCCCAAGACGCUCGACUUAGCGUCCAAGUUCUGC
Molecule: non-coding RNA, 61 nt
Filed under: unclassified sequences
Description: chromate-resist RNA
Rfam family: chrB-b RNA
Source: RNAcentral